CUUGCUGUUUCGCUGACGAGUGGCGGACGGGUGAGUAAUGUCUGGGAAACUGCCUGAUGGAGGGGGAUAACUACUGGAAACGGUAGCUAAUACCGCAUAACGUCGCAAGACCAAAGAGGGGGACCUUCGGGCCUCUUGCCAUCGGAUGUGCCCAGAUGGGAUUAGCUAGUAGGUGGGGUAACGGCUCACCUAGGCGACGAUCCCUAGCUGGUCUGAGAGGAUGACCAGCCACACUGGAACUGAGACACGGUCCAGACUCCUACGGGAGGCAGCAGUGGGGAAUAUUGCACAAUGGGCGCAAGCCUGAUGCAGCCAUGCCGCGUGUAUGAAGAAGGCCUUCGGGUUGUAAAGUACUUUCAGCGGGGAGGAAGGGAGUAAAGUUAAUACCUUUGCUCAUUGACGUUACCCGCAGAAUAAGCACCGGCUAACUCCGUGCCAGCAGCCGCGGUAAUACGGAGGGUGCAAAGCGUUAAUCGGAAUUACUGGGCGUAAAGCGCACGCAGGCGGUUUGUUAAGUCAGAUGUGAAAUUCCCGGGCUCAACCUGGGAACUGCAUCUGAUACUGGCAAGCUUGAAUCUCGUACAGGGGGGUACAAUUCCAUGUGUAGUGUU
This 611-nucleotide ribosomal RNA is filed under the name bacterium. Its description in RNAcentral is "bacterial SSU rRNA". It matches the Rfam family "Bacterial small subunit ribosomal RNA", at positions 79 to 682 of the family's 1533-position model. The record is from RNAcentral.